Molecule: ribosomal RNA, 491 nt
Filed under: uncultured bacterium
Lineage: Bacteria
Description: partial 16S ribosomal RNA
Rfam family: Bacterial small subunit ribosomal RNA
Source: RNAcentral
AGUGAACGCUAGCGGUAGGCCUAACACAUGCAAGUCGAACGGCAGCACAGUAAGAGCUUGCUCUUACGGGUGGCGAGUGGCGGACGGGUGAGGAAUACAUCGGAAUCUACUUUUUCGUGGGGGAUAACGUAGGGAAACUUACGCUAAUACCGCAUACGACAUACGGGCGAAAGCAGAGGAUCUUCGGACCUUGCGCGACUGAAUGAGCCGAUGCCGGAUUAGCUAGUUGGCGGGGUAAGGCCCACCAAGGCGACGAUCCGUAGCUGGUCUGAGAGGAUGAUCAGCCACACUGGAACUGAGACACGGCCCAGACUCCUACGGGAGGCAGCAGUGGGGAAUAUUGGACAAUGGGCGCAAGCCUGAUCCAGCCAUACCGCGUGGGUGAAGAAGGCCUUCGGGUUGUAAAGCCCUUUUGUAGGGAAAGAAAAGCAGCAGUUUAAAACGCCGCUGGUUUGACGGUACCCAACGAAUAAGCACCGGCUAACUUCGUG